CAAAGAUGCUCAGUCAUAAAACAAGAUGAUCACUGUCUUCUGCAUAGCCCUUAAUGUCAUAAUGGUGUCAGGUUCCUCUCUCAGCGACCAGGUCUACCAGACUCCAGCUGACAUGUUCACCAAAACUAAAGGAACAGCCGAAAUCAACUGUUCUCACAGUAUUCAGAACUACGAUCAGAUCCUCUGGUACAAGCAACUCAACAAUAUGCAGCUCCAGCUCCUGGGCUACAUGUAUGCAACUCAUGGAAACCCAGAGGCUGGACUGGGUGUGAAGAUAGAAGGGAGUGCAAAUAAAAAUCAGGCCUGCACAUUAACAAUCGAAGGACUCGCCCUGAACAGCAGUGCCGUGUACUUCUGUGCUGCUAGGUUGCACAGUGCUACAGAUCACUGCUCCUCAGUACAAAAACCUCCUCACACAUCGUUUCUUCUCCGUCAACAAUUGGCAAUAUGCACAAUGACACCGCCCACUAAUGACUUGGGAGGGUUUACUCAAUGGAGGAGGUUGGAGAUUCUCUGUAUGACUGCUUCAGUCAUUGCAACAACAAAUUGGGGAUCUUAUUUAUUUUGAUCGAAUUUUCUGCAAUAUCACCAAACAUCCAGAAAAAAACACAAAAUGUACAUCGUCUUCCUUUGCAUUACUUUUAGAUCUUUGCUGGUGUCAGGUAACGCACUAAUAAUGGUGUAACGAACAUUUAAUU
Non-coding RNA from Anarrhichthys ocellatus (wolf-eel), 698 nucleotides. The record is from the annotation of a RefSeq genome assembly. NCBI's taxonomy places the organism in Eukaryota, Metazoa, Chordata, Actinopteri, Perciformes, Anarhichadidae.